Molecule: ribosomal RNA, 253 nt
Filed under: uncultured bacterium
Lineage: Bacteria
Description: partial 16S ribosomal RNA
Rfam family: Bacterial small subunit ribosomal RNA
Source: RNAcentral
UACAGAGACUGCAAGCGUUGUCCGGAUUUACUGGGCGUAAAGAGCGCGCAGGCGGUCGAUCAAGUCGAGUGUGAAAGCCCCCGGCUCAACUGGGGAGGGUCAUUCGAUACUGAUCGACUCGAAGGCAGGAGAGGGUAGUGGAAUUCCCGGUGUAGUGGUGAAAUGCGUAGAUAUCGGGAGGAACACCAGUGGCGAAGGCGACUACCUGGCCUGUUCUUGACGCUGAGGCGCGAAAGCUAGGGGAGCAAACGGG